Gopherus flavomarginatus (Mexican gopher tortoise) is the source of this 1735-nucleotide long non-coding RNA. RefSeq lists it as uncharacterized. NCBI's taxonomy places the organism in Eukaryota, Metazoa, Chordata, Testudines, Testudinidae. The record is from RefSeq and is a predicted model, not a curated record. The transcript is spliced from 3 exons.
GUUAGCAUAUCUAGAUUAAGACCUUUUACUCAGAAAGCAAAGUUGACCUAUAUCUCGUUACCUGAAUAGAUGAGUACCCACACCUAUGUCUAUGACUUUUUAUUUAGACUGAUAGACAAUGACGAAUGGCAUAGGGGGGUUUCCCACAGACUUAACAAGUACACCACAAGAGACUGAUGUACGUACAUACCUGUCAUCAAUACGCACAUACAUACUAGCCUAUGGUGUAAGUGUACCCUAACAUCUCUGUGGGUGAGCAAUGAAAUUCGGGCAUAAGAAAAAGGAGGUCCGGUAUUUGCCCUAUAAAAGAGGUAACCACCUCAGUAGAUUAUCUCCAUCUCUCCAUUAUCUCCAGUUUCUCCAUUUUCUUACUAGCUUUAGAUCUCCAUUUCUCUUUAUCUCCAUUUCUCACUUACUUCUUCCACUCUAUCUAGCUACAGUGACUGUUACUGUAGGCUAAACUUGUUCUUAAACUUUAAGUUUCAAGGGAACUAGGCUAAGCUUGGUUUCCCUGUUUUAUUCUUUAUUAGGUUUUGAUUUAAGUUUAAGAUAGUCAAGUAAACCCUAGUCAGCUUUAAGCAUUUUCUAAGCACUGCAUCCCUCCCUCAAGAAUUGAGAAACCUGAACUGCAAGGCAGGUCCUGUCUCUCUUACCACCAGGUUAUCAAGGAAGGGUCACAGGCGCAACUUCCUCCUCAGAACUUAUGUGAACAGCAUCCAACUGAAUCACGACAACUGGAGCACAGCAAUUUGCAACCAUAAAAUGGACAUUGAUAUUUCUGAUUUGCUACACCCCUAUCGUUGCUCUAAGGAUGGCCCAGUGCUUGGAUGAGAUCAGACCAUGGAUGAACACUUGGCUGAAGCAGAACCUGAGCAAGGCAGAGGUGAUGCUGGUGGGCAGAGGAAAGAAUUUGCAGCUACAAUGCAGUCUCCAUUGGUUGGAGGCACACACCCAGAAUUGGUCAAUUUAGUCCAAAUCUAGGUUCCUCACUGGUGCCUGGAUGCUAAGGUCUCACAUAGCAACUGCAAGUAACUUCUACCAUCUCUGCUUAGCUAUGUUGGCUUGGCAGAUGAUGAUCUAGCUUCCUCUAUUCACAACUUGAUCCCCUCUUAGCUGGAUUAUACCAGUGUGAUAUAUCUAGGCAUGAAGCCUUCAGUUCUUAGGAAACUAGUACACUGUGCUGCAGCAUGUCUCCUCAGCAACACAGGCUACUGUAAGCACAUCAAACCUGUCCUUUAUACUGGCUUCCAAUAGGAUAUCAAAUCAAGUUCAAAAUCUUGCUCUCCAGUUGGGGCUCAUCACGAUACCUAAAAGAGUACCUACAACUCCAGGUUGUGGGAGGCAGGGGGAGGAGUUUGUUUCAGAGUUUGAACUGGAGCAAUUAAUAUUUUUGAAAAAUUAUUAUUUUCAAAAUUCAGUUUUGUUUUCCCCUCAAGUCCCCUCACUCCCCCUGCUUUAUGCCACUGAGUAUUGACUGCAAAACAAAGAACAGUGCCCUGCGUUCUUUUGUUUUAUUUCUUUUACUUUUUCUUUUCCCUACUCUGGAACAGAAAAUUAUUCCAAGGCGCUCAUGAAAAAAAUUAAUAUUUAAAAAGUGAGUGCAGCAGGCCCCCUAUAUCUCUGUCUCCAUACCCAGCUACUCCUGUGAAUUACACACCCAAAUUAUGGGUGGCAUGUAUUUUUUGGAAACUUGGGUUUUAAUCUCUUCUAACUUGCAAUUACUAGACUGUAAGUA